CGCGGGAAAUCUUACUAGAUCAGGACACUUUGAGGAUUGACAGACAGUUAUACCGAACUACGAAUAAUGAAUGGUCCAGGGUAGGCAAAAACUAAUAGCUCUUUUAUGAUUAUGUGAUAGGUGGUGCAUGGCCGUUCUUAGUUCGUGGAGUGAUCUGUCUGCUUAAUUGCGUUUCAAAACAACUGAUACACAGAGUCUUGGCACAGUUCAGUUUAAUGGCGUCGAGUAUCUUUGAUUUCGACAGUAGUCCAACUCGGUUCGCCAGGGUCUCUUUUGAACGCAACGGACGUGAUCGCAACCCUUUGUUGAGUGAUGUCAGCACUCUACGUCUAUCCUAGCUCGUUGAUCGCAAGUGAGAGUUGGGUGGGCAAACUCAGGGGACAGCUUCAACUAUUCUUCUUCAAACUAGAGGAAGGUUGCGGCAAUAACAGGUCUGUGAUGCCCUCAGAUGUUCUAGGCUGCACACGUGCUACAUUGAUCAGCACAAUGCGAUACAUUUCGAAAGGAAACAUCGGUUUUAAGGUAACGUCGAUUGCCUACCGAUAGCACCUGGUCCCCAGUGGACUGGGCAAUCUCUUCUAAAUGCUGGUAAGGUACCCACACUC
RNAcentral lists this ribosomal RNA (605 nucleotides) under Orbulina universa. RNAcentral describes it as "SSU rRNA". It matches the Rfam family "Eukaryotic small subunit ribosomal RNA", at positions 1204 to 1585 of the family's 1831-position model. The record is from RNAcentral. Lineage: Eukaryota; Foraminifera; Rotaliida; Globigerinidae.